RNAcentral lists this ribosomal RNA (497 nucleotides) under uncultured bacterium. Its description in RNAcentral is "partial 16S ribosomal RNA". It matches the Rfam family "Bacterial small subunit ribosomal RNA", at positions 28 to 507 of the family's 1533-position model. The record is from RNAcentral.
GAUGAACGCUGGCGGCGUGCCUAAUACAUGCAAGUCGAGCGAACAGACGAGGAGCUUGCUCCUCUGACGUUAGCGGCGGACGGGUGAGUAACACGCGGAUAACCUACCUAUAUGACUGGGAUAACUUCGGGAAACCGGAGCUAAUACCGGAUAAUAUAUUGAACCGCAUGGUUCAAUAGUGAAAGACGGUUUUGCUGUCACUUAUAGAUGGAUCCGCGCCGCAUUAGCUAGUUGGUAAGGUAACGGCUUACCAAGGCGACGAUGCGUAGCCGACCUGAGAGGGUGAUCGGCCACACUGGAACUGAGACACGGUCCAGACUCCUACGGGAGGCAGCAGUAGGGAAUCUUCCGCAAAGGGCGAAAGCCUGACGGAGCAACGCCGCGUGAGUGAUGAAGGUCUUCGGAUCGUAAAACUCUGUUAUUAGGGAAGAACAAAUGUGUAAGUAACUAUGCACGUCUUGACGGUACCUAAUCAGAAAGCCACGGCUAACUACGUG